AGAGUUAUAGCUUAGUGGAAGAGCUUCUGCUUGGCAUGCAGAAAGCCAAUCCCUGCUUGGCAUGCAGAAAGUUCAAUCCCUGGCAUCUCCA
This 91-nucleotide transfer RNA is filed under the name Sphaerodactylus townsendi. RNAcentral describes it as "tRNA-Ala". Lineage: Eukaryota; Metazoa; Chordata; Lepidosauria; Squamata; Sphaerodactylidae. The record is from RNAcentral.